RNAcentral lists this ribosomal RNA (457 nucleotides) under uncultured archaeon. RNAcentral's name for it is "bacterial SSU rRNA". It matches the Rfam family "Archaeal small subunit ribosomal RNA", at positions 334 to 793 of the family's 1478-position model. The record is from RNAcentral.
AGCAGGCGCGAAACCUCCUCAAUGCACUUACGUGCGAAGGGGCUACCUCGAGUGCCACCUGAUGAAGGUGGCUUUUCCUAGGUCUAAAAAGCCUUGGGAAUAAGAGGGGGGCAAGACUGGUGUNAGCCGCCGCGGUAACACCAGCCCCUCGAGUGGUGGGGAUGAUUAUUGGGCCUAAAGCGUCCGUAGCCUGCCGUAUAAGUUUCCCGUUAAAUCCAGCGUCUUAAGCGUUGGACCGCGGGAAAUACUGUACGGCUAGAGAGUGGGAGAGGUCAGCGGUAUUCUGGGGGUAGGGGCGAAAUCCUUUGAUCCCCGGAGGACCACCAGUGGCGAAGGCUGCUGUCUAGAACACGUCUGACGGUCAGGGACGAAAGCUGGGGUAGCGAACCGGAUUAGAUACCCGGGUAGUCCCAGCCGUAAACGAUGCAUGCUAGGUGUUGGGUUGGCCACGAGCCAC